UUAGAGUUUGAUUUUGGGUGAGGACGAACGCUGGCGGCGCGCCUAACACAUGCAAGUCGAACGAGCGAGAGAGAGCUUGCUUUCUCGAGCGAGUGGCGAACGGGUGAGUAACGCGUGAGGAACCUGCCUCAAAGAGGGGGACAACAGUUGGAAACGACUGCUAAUACCGCAUAAGCCCACAGCUCGGCAUCGAGCAGAGGGAAAAGGAGCAAUCCGCUUUGAGAUGGCCUCGCGUCCGAUUAGCUAGUUGGUGAGGUAAUGGCCCACCAAGGCGACGAUCGGUAGCCGGACUGAGAGGUUGAACGGCCACAUUGGGACUGAGACACGGCCCAGACUCCUACGGGAGGCAGCAGUGGGGAAUAUUGCACAAUGGGGGAAACCCUGAUGCAGCGACGCCGCGUGGAGGAAGAAGGUCUUCGGAUUGUAAACUCCUGUUGUUGAGGAAGAUAAUGACGGUACUCAACAAGGAAGUGACGGCUAACUACGUGCCAGCAGCCGCAGUAAAACGUAGGUCACAAGCGUUGUCCGGAAUUACUGGGUGUAAAGGGAGCGCAGGCGGGAAGACAAGUUGGAAGUGAAAUCCAUGGGCUCAACCCAUGAACUGCUUUCAAAACUGUUUUUCUUGAGUAGUGCAGAGGUAGGCGGAAUUCCCGGUGUAGCGGUGGAAUGCGUAGAUAUCGGGAGGAACACCAGUGGCGAAGGCGGCCUACUGGGCACCAACUGACGCUGAGGCUCGAAAGUGUGGGUAGCAAACAGGAUUAGAUACCCUGGUAGUCCACACUGUAAACGAUGAUUACUAGGUGUUGGAGGAUUGACCCCUUCAGUGCCGCAGUUAACACAAUAAGUAAUCCACCUGGGGAGUACGACCGCAAGGUUGAAACUCAAAGGAAUUGACGGGGGCCCGCACAAGCAGUGGAGUAUGUGGUUUAAUUCGACGCAACGCGAAGAACCUUACCAAGUCUUGACAUCCUGCGACGCACAUAGAAAUAUGUGUUUCCUUCGGGACGCAGAGACAGGUGGUGCAUGGUUGUCGUCAGCUCGUGUCGUGAGAUGUUGGGUUAAGUCCCGCAACGAGCGCAACCCUUAUGGUCAGUUACUACGCAAGAGGACUCUGGCCAGACUGCCGUUGACAAAACGGAGGAAGGUGGGGAUGACGUCAAAUCAUCAUGCCCUUUAUGACUUGGGCUACACACGUACUACAAUGGCGUUAAACAAAGAGAAGCAAGACCGCGAGGUGGAGCAAAACUCAGAAACAACGUCCCAGUUCGGACUGCAGGCUGCAACUCGCCUGCACGAAGUCGGAAUUGCUAGUAAUCGCAGAUCAGCAUGCUGCGGUGAAUACGUUCCCGGGCCUUGCACUCACCGCCCGUCA
RNAcentral lists this ribosomal RNA (1372 nucleotides) under uncultured bacterium. RNAcentral's name for it is "16S ribosomal RNA". It matches the Rfam family "Bacterial small subunit ribosomal RNA". The record is from RNAcentral.